Molecule: ribosomal RNA, 524 nt
Filed under: uncultured bacterium
Lineage: Bacteria
Description: bacterial SSU rRNA
Rfam family: Bacterial small subunit ribosomal RNA
Source: RNAcentral
UGGGGAAUAUUGGACAAUGGACGCAAGCCUGAUCCAGCAAUGCCGCGUGGGUGAAGAAGGUCUUCGGAUUGUAAAGCCCUUUCGGCGGGGACGAUGAUGACGGUACCCGCAGAAGAAGCCCCGGCUAACUUCGUGCCAGCAGCCGCGGUAAUACGAAGGGGGCUAGCGUUGCUCGGAAUGACUGGGCGUAAAGGGCGCGUAGGCGGUUUGAACAGUUGGGCGUGAAAUUCCUGGGCUUAACCUGGGGGCUGCGUUCAAUACGUUUAGACUUGAGUUUGGAAGAGGGUCGUGGAAUUCCCAGUGUAGAGGUGAAAUUCGUAGAUAUUGGGAAGAACACCGGUGGCGAAGGCGGCGACCUGGUCCGAUACUGACGCUGAGGCGCGAAAGCGUGGGGAGCAAACAGGAUUAGAUACCCUGGUAGUCCACGCUGUAAACGAUGUGCGCUGGAUGUUGGGCGACCUAGUCGCUCAGUGUCGUAGCUAACGCGAUAAGCGCACCGCCUGGGGAGUACGGCCGCAAGGUUG